RNAcentral lists this ribosomal RNA (506 nucleotides) under uncultured bacterium. RNAcentral describes it as "partial 16S ribosomal RNA". It matches the Rfam family "Bacterial small subunit ribosomal RNA", at positions 30 to 523 of the family's 1533-position model. The record is from RNAcentral.
AUUGAACGCUGGCGGCAGGCCUAACACAUGCAAGUCGAACGGUAACAGGAAGAAGCCUGCUUCUUUGCUGACGAGUGGCGGACGGGUGAGUAAUGUCUGGGAAACUGCCUGAUGGAGGGGGAUAACUACUGGAAACGGUAGCUAAUACCGCAUAACGUCGCAAGACCAAAGAGGGGGACCUUCGGGCCUCUUGCCAUCGGAUGUGCCCAGAUGGGAUUAGCUAGUAGGUGGGGUAACGGCUCACCUAGGCGACGAUCCCUAGCUGGGCUGAGCGGAUGCCAAGCCACACUGGAACUGAGACACGGUCCAGACUCCUACGGGAGGCAGCAGUGGGGAAUAUUGCACAAUGGGCGCAAGCCUGAUGCAGCCAUGCCGCGUGUAUGAAGAAGGCCUUCGGGUUGUAAAGUACUUUCAGCGGGGAGGAAGGGAGUAAAGUUAAUACCUUUGCUCAUUGACGUUACCAGCAGAAGAAGCACCGGCUAACUCCGUGCCAGCCGCCGCCGUAA